CGCACAUUGCGCCCCUUGGUAUUCCGGGGGGCAUGCUUGUUCGAGCGUCAUUAUGACCCCUCCAGCUUAGCUGGGUAUUGGAUCGCGCCUCCGGGCGGGUCUUAAAACUAGUGGCGGUGCUUUCAGGCUCUACGCGUAGUAAUUGUUCUCGCUAUGGAGUCCUGGGGGAUGCUUGCCAGCAAUCUCAACUUCUUCAGGUUGACCUCGAAUCAAGUAGGGAUACCCGCUGAACUUAA
RNAcentral lists this unclassified non-coding RNA (236 nucleotides) under Proliferodiscus alboviridis. RNAcentral's name for it is "partial contains 5.8S ribosomal RNA, internal transcribed spacer 2, and large subunit ribosomal RNA". The record is from RNAcentral. Lineage: Eukaryota; Fungi; Ascomycota; Leotiomycetes; Helotiales; Lachnaceae.